GCUUGCUUGAAUUCCUCAAUCGCUAGCUUGGUGAAUUACUUGUUGCGACUGGAGGUUGACUACUACUAUUACAUAUGCCACUUGCAUUUGAGAAAAAUCAAAGAUACCCGAAAACUGUUUGCCUUGUACCAUAUUGUUGAACAUGAAAAUUUACCCUGAAUUCAACUUCGAUUCAUGGAUCUGAAUAUUCAAACAUUUCAAACAUAAAAUGGAAAUACUGCCAAAUGGACAAUAAUAAAGUGAAUAUGUAGUUGUUAAAAACCAUCGUGUAAUACAUUCAGCUCUGAAUAGCAAAGCGAAGAAGGCAUAUUGAGAACAUAGUUGAGCCAUCCCAUGCUUUAUUUUAUUACAGAGUGGGGUAAUUAUAGCCAUGGAUGUGGCAAGCUUAAAAAAAUAGUGACUCUGCAAGUAGGUGAUAGAUAAGAUAAGACACAGUACCAAGUUUUGAGAGAUUCGGCAUAAACAUAGAAAUGACAAAUAACAAUCACACAUGCUUUAUGUUUAUCAUCAGCGGCACCAAAACUAUUAAGCACCGUGCUCUGAAUGUAAAAUUGGUCAAAAACUUCCUGAAAAUGACCUUUAUUGUUGAUAAAAUACAAAAAGAAACUCUGUAUAGUCCCUGAAUAGCAAAGCAUCCCAUGCUUUAUUUCAGAGUGGGGGUAUUAUAGAUACAGAUCUGGUGACUUGUACAAAUCAGUGACCCAUUUAUAUCCAGCAUCGACGUCCAUCCUCUUUCAUGCUUAUAUAUAGUUUGGUCUGAACUGUACCUGCAAAUGAACAAGAAACAUGGUUGCAGCAAAUAUAGUUAUGUAGAUACAACAACAUAGAUGCAAAUAAACCUAACACACCUUCUUCACUCCUCUAAAACAUCUCGAUAGACAAUGUUUUUGGUGCUUUUCCCAGAUUUAUCAACUUCAUUGUUCGGCUUGGCCAAAAUCCGUGUCGUCUUUCUUGACACUCCCCUUGACAAUGCAACAUAUAGUUGGCCAUGUGAGAAUACAUGUUCGGGAAGGUAAAUACCAACGUGUGGUAUGGUCUGGCUCUGUGCCUUGUUAAUGGUCAUCGCAAAACUUAGACGGAUGGGAAAUUGUUUUCUCUUGAGUUUGAAGGGAAGUGAGUUGUCCUCCGAAGGCGACAUAGGGAUCCUAGGCCAUUAUGAGGGUCAAGGUUCCGGAGUAGAAUGACAGGGCAGUUGACCUUUAAUCUCAAAACAUGCGGUGGCAAUCCAUUUGGUGUGAUCGAGUUCAAAAAAUCAAUUGUGUAAUUAUUCUGCAAGUCAUCCUUGAUUGAGUCGAAGCUAUGGUAUAACUUUUCUUCGCCUGGAAACCUGGAGAUCAUCUUGUCAUUUAGAUCAUCCACAUGCUCGUUCUUGGUUGAAAGAAUUGCACGUGCACUCAUGUACUCUCUCGAUAUAGCAUUGGCAUGCAGCGCAGGGAAGACACCUUCGAUGAGCCUGUUAAUAGCUUUUUUAUUCUCGGUAUAGCCAAUCACAAUUUCAUCAGGGAGACGCACAUAGUCGUUGCCAAGAGUCUCUUCUGUUCCAUUGCCGAUCCUUAGGAGGUGUUCGGAAAACCAAGGAUCAUCCUGUGCCCGCAUAUUGCGCGUGAGGCGUAUCUUUUGGGUCUUCUCCCACAUAUAGGAUCUGAGAAGUGUAGCAUCCGUUAUUUGUGCUCUUAUCCCACGUGUCACAACGGGAAGGACCUGCCUGAAAUCCCCACCAAAGACAACAACCUUUCCCCCAAAAGGCAAUGGACAUUCCAUUAUAUCCUGUAAUGAUCUAUCAAGCGUCUCAACGGCUUGACGUUUUGUCAUAGCGACUUCAUCCCAGAUUAUCAAGGAUGCCUGUUUAAGCAACUCUGUUGUGCCACUCUGCUUUGUGAAACUACACAUGCUGUUGUCAGUAAGUUUGAUUGGAAUUUUGAACCUGGAAUGCGCAGUCCGGCCUCCAGGCAUUAUCGAUGCAGCUAUACCGGAUGUAGCAGUUGCAAUUGCUAUUAGGCCCAUGGAACGCACCUUUGCAAGCAAUGCCUUGUACAAGUACAUCUUCCCAGUGCCUCCUGGACCAUCAACAAAGAAUAUCUGGCUUUUUUGGUUGACCACAUGAUCCAUUAUGUCAUUGAAACCAGCGAGCUGCUCACUAUUCAAACUGCUAAAUAAAUCCAAAUGUUCUUUGUCUGCGGUGACUUGCCUCUCCUCUAUAACCUCUCUAUACUCAGUAUCAUAGGAACAAUUGAUGUCAACCAGAUCCGGAAGUCCAUAGGUUGUAAUAUCCUUUCCCAUUGAUUGCAACAUAUCCCUGAUAUCUCUAAGGACCAUCUGCUCAAGUUCUGCCUCAUUGGAUUGAUCACGAUGGUAAUCCUCUGACAUUGAAGCUAGAUGUUUGUCCCACAUCUUUCGGAUUUCUGUUGCCUCACGAAAUACCAGUAUAGUCGCAAACAGCCGUCUUAGGGCACAAGGCAUCUGAAAUGUGGCGGCCUCUAUCAUGCAAUCAUCAAGGGUCUUGUCGUGAUCAAUGAGGCCUAAGUGCUCACAAGCCUCCCUGAAGGAACCUCAUAACUUGCCAUUUACUGUUUUUAAAUCAUCAAAUGAUGUGGCACCUCGGACAUGACUUAGGAGCACACGCAAAUAGUACCUCUCUCCUUCAGCAGGAUGUGCAUACACAAGUCUACCAAUUUGUGAUCUCCUAUUUUUUCUGUUCUGCCACUUUUUAUUUCCGGCAAUCCACCUAUAAUGUUCUGGAAACUCUCUGUACAACCAUUUCCGUGCCUCCGAAAACUUCCGGUUCAUUUCAAAAUACUCGGUUAGCAUGGAUUUAGAAGAGUUUGGUCGAGCGAAAACAUCUUCUAGAUUUUCAUAAGCUUUAAAUGCAACUGUAUGCAUGUUUUCCAAAUGAAGUUGGAGCUACAUAGAUGGACUGACACCGAACAUUUUAAAACCGAAAAUCCUGUAAAUAGCCUCUGGAGGAGAUACAUAGCGUGCAUCCCUGUGAUACGUCUCAAACGUAUCUAUAAUUUCCGAUGUUCCAUGCUAGUUUUAUGACAAUACUCACAUGUUUUAUACACACUUUAUGUCAUUAUUAUGCAUUUUCUGGAACUAACCUAUUAACAAGAUGCCACAGUGCCAGUUCUUGUUUUCUGUUGUUUUUGGUUCCAGAAAGGCUGUUCGGGCAAUAUUCUCGGAAUUCGACGAAACAAAGACCAAACAUCUUAUUUCACCGGGAAGGUUCCAGAAGUCCGAAGGGGAGACGAAGAUGGGCCAGGGGGCCCCACACCUCACCUGGGCGCGGGCCCAAGCCUGGCCGCGCCACCAGGUGGGGAGGGCACCCUGGUGCCCCUCCUGCGCCGCCUCUUCGCCUAUAUAAGCCCUCGUGACCUAAAACUUCGAUACCGAUUGACGAAACUACAGAAAGACUCCAGGGACGCCGCCGCCAUCGCGAAACUCCAAUUCGGGGGACAUAAGUCUCUGUUUCGGCACCCUGCCGGGACGGGGAAUUGCCCCCGGAGCCAUCUCCAUCGACACCACCGCCAUCUUCAUCGCCGUUGCUGUCUCUUAUGAUGAGGAGGGAGUAGUUCUCCCCCGAGGCUGAGGGCUCUACCGGUAGCUAUGUGGUUCAUCUCUCUCUCCCAUGUACUUCAAUACAAUGAUCUCAUGAGCUGCCUUACAUGAUUGAGAUUCAUAUGAUGAGCUUUGUAAUCUAGAUGUCAUAUGCUAUUCAAGUGCUUAA
This is a long non-coding RNA of Lolium perenne, 3724 nucleotides long. RefSeq lists it as uncharacterized. The record is from RefSeq and is a predicted model, not a curated record. Lineage: Eukaryota; Viridiplantae; Streptophyta; Magnoliopsida; Poales; Poaceae.